RNAcentral lists this ribosomal RNA (250 nucleotides) under uncultured bacterium. RNAcentral's name for it is "partial 16S ribosomal RNA". It matches the Rfam family "Bacterial small subunit ribosomal RNA", at positions 524 to 772 of the family's 1533-position model. The record is from RNAcentral.
UACGGAGGGUGCAAGCGUUGUUCGGAAUUACUGGGCGUAAAGCGUGUGUAGGCGGCGACCAUAAGUCGGGUGUGAAAGCCCUGGGCUCAACCCAGGAACUGCGCUCGAUACUGUGGCGCUUGAAUUCGGGAGAGGGACGUGGAAUUCCUGGUGUAGGGGUGAAAUCCGUAGAGAUCAGGAGGAACACUCGUGGCGAAGGCGACGUCCUGGACCGUAAUUGACGCUGAGACACGAAAGCAUGGGUAGCAAA